Molecule: ribosomal RNA, 776 nt
Filed under: uncultured Neocallimastigales
Lineage: Eukaryota; Fungi; Neocallimastigomycota; Neocallimastigomycetes; Neocallimastigales
Description: partial large subunit ribosomal RNA
Rfam family: Eukaryotic large subunit ribosomal RNA
Source: RNAcentral
UAUCUCUGUAGAGUCUGCAUAUCAAUAAGCGGAGGAAAAGAAACUAACUAGGAUUCCCUCAGUAACGGCGAGUGAAGCGGGAAGAGCUCAAAUUUGAAAUCUUCAAGGUUCUACCUUGACGAAUUGUAGUUUAAAGAAGUGUUUUCUGUUGGAGUUUUGGUAAAAGUUCUUUGGAAUAGGACAUCAUAGAGGGUGAGAAUCCCGUAUUUGGCCAUUUCUUCCAGCUGUGUGAUACACUUUCAAAGAGUCGGAUUGUUUGGGAAUGCAGUCCAAAAUGGGUGGUAAAUUUCAUCUAAAGCUAAAUAUUGGCGAGAGACCGAUAGCGAACAAGUACCGUGAGGGAAAGAUGAAAAGAACUUUGAAAAGAGAGUUAAACAGUACGUGAAAUUGUCAAAAGGGAAGCGUUUGACACCAGUGUUGUUUUCUCGAAAAUCAAUUAAAAAUGGCCGGAUUUUGUGUUGUAUUGACUUUAUCAGCUUUCUGCACUUUUUUCUUGUCUUUUUUAAUGCACUUUUCGUUUAACAAGUCAACAUCAAUUUCUUUUGUUGUAAAAGAGUCAUUGGAAGGUGGCUUUCACUUCGGUGAAAGUGUUUAUAGCCUUUGACUUCUGCAAUCGGAGAGAUUGAGGUCUGCAGCGUAGAUCCUUCGGGGUUAGAUACAUUUGUGCUAAGUUAUAGUUUUUCAUAGACAACAUUGUUGACUAUGAUUAAGUCAUGUAGCUUACUCGCUUAUGCUAUUUUACCUACGCUUAGGAUGUUGAGUAGCGACAUACGCAC